AGGAAAGUCACCAGGCACCUAGUCCAGUUUCAUUGAAAUGAAGAGUCUUUCAACGCAUUUUGUUGGACAUUGAAUCUGGACAUUGAAGUCCAAGUUGCUGUCAGAGAAGGCCUGGAGUAGGUGUGCCCAGGUGUCAAGAUAUAACUGAUAUGAAAAUUCUUCUUCUUCCUGUGGCCACCUCGUUUGCUAAAACACUUAAGAAAUCUGAUAAAACACCUGUUGUUCAGGACCUCUGCCUCAUUCAGUGCACCAGAUGGACCUGCUCACAGGAUGAAUCAGGAAUGUGUGGUGAAGGAAGCUAUUGUCUGUAGGACUCCUGCCUCAUAAUUAUUUUGUGUGUGGUUUCCUAGGGUUUUUAAAAAACAAACUGAAAAACAAAACAAAACAGUAAUUUCAUCAUGCGGUAAUACACUGACACCAACUGUUUCAUCAGCAGGGUUGGAACCUUUAGAUUCACUGCGCAGACCUCUGCAACUUCAGCUUAUAGAGUAACUGACAGCAAUAGUAGUUUGUUAUCCUCUAUGUAGACUGGUAUAGUGGGGGAAGAGAACCACACUUUGCAAGUGGGUUUCACAGAUAUUUUCUGGCAGCAGUGGAGUGGUGAGACUCAGGAAUCUUGGGUUGCACUCCAGGCUCUGGAAGGGCACAGCUAGUGGGCACAGCUAGAUCCUUUCUGCCCAGCCCCUCCAACCUGUCUCAGUCUUGUCUGUUCCCCAAACCUGGCUCCUUGUUCCAGUCCUGUUCUCUUUGCCCACCCAGUCCCAGUUUCCAUUACUCAGGCUUCUCAUCCCAGUCUCCUUGCCCAGCCAAUCCAGUCUAUUCCUCCAGGCUAACUGUCCUAAUCUCCCCCAACUCUGCCACUCAUAGUUUCUGCCCUCACCUCCUCCCCCACACCUACCUACCCACCUAUUGCCAGUUUUAGUUCCUUGUUCGA
Mauremys reevesii (Reeves's turtle) is the source of this 934-nucleotide long non-coding RNA. RefSeq lists it as uncharacterized. The transcript has 3 exons. Lineage: Eukaryota; Metazoa; Chordata; Testudines; Geoemydidae. The record is from RefSeq and is a predicted model, not a curated record.